Acyrthosiphon pisum (pea aphid) is the source of this 136-nucleotide long non-coding RNA. RefSeq lists it as uncharacterized. NCBI's taxonomy places the organism in Eukaryota, Metazoa, Arthropoda, Insecta, Hemiptera, Aphididae. The record is from RefSeq and is a predicted model, not a curated record. The transcript is spliced from 2 exons.
AACUUUUCAAUGCUAUAAAUGAAGCAUUGACCGAGAAAUAUACGAUUAACAUGAAAAAACUGCAACAGUUAUAUAAUGAUCGACCACAUUCACCUCUCGAAACAGCAGUUUACUGGACCGAGUAUGUAAUAAGAAA